This 1332-nucleotide ribosomal RNA is filed under the name uncultured bacterium. RNAcentral's name for it is "bacterial SSU rRNA". It matches the Rfam family "Bacterial small subunit ribosomal RNA", at positions 28 to 1381 of the family's 1533-position model. The record is from RNAcentral.
GACGAACGCUGGCGGCGCGCCUAACACAUGCAAGUCGAACGAGCAAAGAGGAGCUUGCUUCUCUGAGCGAGUGGCGAACGGGUGAGUAACGCGUGAGGAACCUGCCUCAAAGAGGGGGACAACAGUUGGAAACGACUGCUAAUACCGCAUAAGCCCACGGGUCGGCAUCGACCAGAGGGAAAAGGAGCAAUCCGCUUUGAGAUGGCCUCGCGUCCGAUUAGCUAGUUGGUGAGGUAAUGGCCCACCAAGGCGACGAUCGGUAGCCGGACUGAGAGGUUGAACGGCCACAUUGGGACUGAGACACGGCCCAGACUCCUACGGGAGGCAGCAGUGGGGAAUAUUGCACAAUGGGGGAAACCCUGAUGCAGCGACGCCGCGUGGAGGAAGAAGGUCUUCGGAUUGUAAACUCCUGUUGUUGAGGAAGAUAAUGACGGUACUCAACAAGGAAGUGACGGCUAACUACGUGCCAGCAGCCGCGGUAAAACGUAGGUCACAAGCGUUGUCCGGAAUUACUGGGUGUAAAGGGAGCGCAGGCGGGAAGACAAGUUGGAAGUGAAAUCCAUGGGCUCAACCCAUGAACUGCUUUCAAAACUGUUUUUCUUGAGUAGUGCAGAGGUAGGCGGAAUUCCCGGUGUAGCGGUGGAAUGCGUAGAUAUCGGGAGGAACACCAGUGGCGAAGGCGGCCUACUGGGCACCAACUGACGCUGAGGCUCGAAAGUGUGGGUAGCAAACAGGAUUAGAUACCCUGGUAGUCCACACCGUAAACGAUGAUUACUAGGUGUUGGAGGAUUGACCCCUUCAGUGCCGCAGUUAACACAAUAAGUAAUCCACCUGGGGAGUACGACCGCAAGGUUGAAACUCAAAGGAAUUGACGGGGGCCCGCACAAGCAGUGGAGUAUGUGGUUUAAUUCGACGCAACGCGAAGAACCUUACCAAGUCUUGACAUCCUGCGACGGACAUAGAAAUAUGUCUUUCCUUCGGGACGCAGAGACAGGUGGUGCAUGGUUGUCGUCAGCUCGUGUCGUGAGAUGUUGGGUUAAGUCCCGCAACGAGCGCAACCCUUAUGGUCAGUUACUACGCAAGAGGACUCUGGCCAGACUGCCGUUGACAAAACGGAGGAAGGUGGGGAUGACGUCAAAUCAUCGUGCCCUUUAUGACUUGGGCUACACACGUACUACAAUGGCGUUAAACAAAGAGAAGCAAGACCGCGAGGUGGAGCAAAACUCAGAAACAACGUCCCAGUUCGGACUGCAGGCUGCAACUCGCCUGCACGAAGUCGGAAUUGCUAGUAAUCGUGGAUCAGCAUGCCACGGUGAAUACGUUCCCGGGCCU